Molecule: non-coding RNA, 175 nt
Filed under: human gut metagenome
Description: Lysine riboswitch
Rfam family: Lysine riboswitch aptamer
About the family: Riboswitches are metabolite binding domains within certain messenger RNAs that serve as precision sensors for their corresponding targets. Allosteric rearrangement of mRNA structure is mediated by ligand binding, and this results in modulation of gene expression. This family includes riboswitches that sense lysine in a number of genes involved in lysine metabolism, including lysC.
Source: RNAcentral
AGGGUAGAGGCGCGAAAAUUAUGAGUCGUACUGAGGAGGUUUCAGGAAAUCGUAGAAACAGUAUAAAAGGAAUUUUCGCCGAAGUCUGUUUUUCUCCUGCGAAAACAGGCUGGGGCUGUAUCGAACAGGUACAGGACUGUCAGCAGCUGUAGCCUAAGCAGUUGUUGUUGUGCUA